This 469-nucleotide ribosomal RNA is filed under the name uncultured bacterium. RNAcentral describes it as "partial 16S ribosomal RNA". It matches the Rfam family "Bacterial small subunit ribosomal RNA", at positions 28 to 508 of the family's 1533-position model. The record is from RNAcentral.
GACGAACGCUGGCGGCGUGCUUAACACAUGCAAGUCGAACGGAAAGGCCCUGCUUUUGUGGGGUGCUCGAGUGGCGAACGGGUGAGUAACACGUGAGUAACCUGCCCUUGACUUUGGGAUAACUUCAGGAAACUGGGGCUAAUACCGGAUAGGAGCUCCUGCUGCAUGGUGGGGGUUGGAAAGUUUCGGCGGUUGGGGAUGGACUCGCGGCUUAUCAGCUUGUUGGUGGGGUAGUGGCUUACCAAGGCUUUGACGGGUAGCCGGCCUGAGAGGGUGACCGGCCACAUUGGGACUGAGAUACGGCCUAGACUCCUACGGGAGGCAGCAGUGGGGAAUAUUGCACAAUGGGCGGAAGCCUGAUGCAGCAACGCCGCGUGCGGGAUGACGGCCUUCGGGUUGUAAACCGCUUUCGCCUGUGACGAAGCGUGAGUGACGGUAAUGGGUAAAGAAGCACCGGCUAACUACGUGC